This 898-nucleotide ribosomal RNA is filed under the name Bacillus sp. VC-CS92. Its description in RNAcentral is "bacterial SSU rRNA". It matches the Rfam family "Bacterial small subunit ribosomal RNA", at positions 56 to 936 of the family's 1533-position model. Lineage: Bacteria; Bacillati; Bacillota; Bacilli; Caryophanales; Bacillaceae. The record is from RNAcentral.
UGCAGUCGAGCGGACAGAUGGGAGCUUGCUCCCUGAUGUUAGCGGCGGACGGGUGAGUAACACGUGGGUAACCUGCCUGUAAGACUGGGAUAACUCCGGGAAACCGGGGCUAAUACCGGAUGGUUGUCUGAACCGCAUGGUUCAGACAUAAAAGGUGGCUUCGGCUACCACUUACAGAUGGACCCGCGGCGCAUUAGCUAGUUGGUGAGGUAACGGCUCACCAAGGCNACGAUGCGUAGCCGACCUGAGAGGGUGAUCGGCCACACUGGGACUGAGACACGGCCCAGACUCCUACGGGAGGCAGCAGUAGGGAAUCUUCCGCAAUGGACGAAAGUCUGACGGAGCAACGCCGCGUGAGUGAUGAAGGUUUUCGGAUCGUAAAGCUCUGUUGUUAGGGAAGAACAAGUGCCGUUCAAAUAGGGCGGCACCUUGACGGUACCUAACCAGAAAGCCACGGCUAACUACGUGCCAGCAGCCGCGGUAAUACGUAGGUGGCAAGCGUUGUCCGGAAUUAUUGGGCGUAAAGGGCUCGCAGGCGGUUUCUUAAGUCUGAUGUGAAAGCCCCCGGCUCAACCGGGGAGGGUCAUUGGAAACUGGGGAACUUGAGUGCAGAAGAGGAGAGUGGAAUUCCACGUGUAGCGGUGAAAUGCGUAGAGAUGUGGAGGAACACCAGUGGCGAAGGCGACUCUCUGGUCUGUAACUGACGCUGAGGAGCGAAAGCGUGGGGAGCGAACAGGAUUAGAUACCCUGGUAGUCCACGCCGUAAACGAUGAGUGCUAAGUGUUAGGGGGUUUCCGCCCCUUAGUGCUGCAGCUAACGCAUUAAGCACUCCGCCUGGGGAGUACGGUCGCAAGACUGAAACUCAAAGGAAUUGACGGGGGCCCGCACAAGCGGUGGA